Molecule: ribosomal RNA, 253 nt
Filed under: uncultured bacterium
Lineage: Bacteria
Description: partial 16S ribosomal RNA
Rfam family: Bacterial small subunit ribosomal RNA
Source: RNAcentral
UACAGAGGGUGCGAGCGUUAAUCGGAAUUACUGGGCGUAAAGCGCACGUAGGCGGAUACUUAAGUCAGGGGUGAAAUCCCGGGGCUCAACCCCGGAACUGCCUUUGAUACUGGGUAUCUCGAGUUCGAGAGAGGUGAGUGGAAUUCCGAGUGUAGAGGUGAAAUUCGUAGAUAUUCGGAGGAACACCAGUGGCGAAGGCGGCUCACUGGCUCGAUACUGACGCUGAGGUGCGAAAGCGUGGGGAGCAAACAGG